RNAcentral lists this ribosomal RNA (467 nucleotides) under uncultured bacterium. Its description in RNAcentral is "partial 16S ribosomal RNA". It matches the Rfam family "Bacterial small subunit ribosomal RNA", at positions 28 to 506 of the family's 1533-position model. The record is from RNAcentral.
GACGAACGCUGGCGGCGUGCUUAACACAUGCAAGUCGAACGGAAAGGCCCUGCUUUUGUGGGGUGCUCGAGUGGCGAACGGGUGAGUAACACGUGAGUAACCUGCCCUUGACUUUGGGAUAACUUCAGGAAACUGGGGCUAAUACCGGAUAGGAGCUCCUGCUGCAUGGUGGGGGUUGGAAAGUUUCGGCGGUUGGGGAUGGACUCGCGGCUUAUCAGCUUGUUGGUGGGGUAGUGGCUUACCAAGGCUUUGACGGGUAGCCGGCCUGAGAGGGUGACCGGCACCAUGGGGACUGAGAAACGGCCCAGACCCCCACGGGGGGGAGGGGGGGGGAAUUUUGCAAAAGGGGGGGAAGCCUGAUGCGGCAACCCCGGGGGGGGGAGGACGGCCUUGGGGUGGAAAACCGCUUUCGCCUGUGACGAAGCGGGGGGGCGGGUAAUGGGAAAAGAAGCACCGGCAAACUACGU